GGCGCUGUGGCCUAGCGGGUUAGGCGUCAGCUUGCAGUGCUGGCAUCCUGUAUGGGCGCUGGUUCGAGUCCCGGCUGCUCCA
This 82-nucleotide transfer RNA is filed under the name Oryctolagus cuniculus (rabbit). It matches the Rfam family "tRNA". From Rfam's summary of the family: Transfer RNA (tRNA) molecules are approximately 80 nucleotides in length. The record is from Rfam by way of RNAcentral. Lineage: Eukaryota; Metazoa; Chordata; Mammalia; Lagomorpha; Leporidae.